GGCUCCAUAGUGCAAUGAUUAGCACAUCUGCUUUACAUGCAGAAGGUCCUGGGUUCGCGCGCCCCAGGUGGAGCCA
This 76-nucleotide transfer RNA is filed under the name Pteropus alecto (black flying fox). It matches the Rfam family "tRNA". Rfam says of the family: Transfer RNA (tRNA) molecules are approximately 80 nucleotides in length. Their secondary structure includes four short double-helical elements and three loops (D, anti-codon, and T loops). Lineage: Eukaryota; Metazoa; Chordata; Mammalia; Chiroptera; Pteropodidae. The record is from Rfam by way of RNAcentral.